Molecule: ribosomal RNA, 519 nt
Filed under: Triticum aestivum (bread wheat)
Lineage: Eukaryota; Viridiplantae; Streptophyta; Magnoliopsida; Poales; Poaceae
Description: partial small subunit ribosomal RNA
Source: RNAcentral
AUGUACUACUUUGACAAUCUUGAGAAAACCCCAUUCAAUUAUGUUAUGGGAGACACGUUGGAUCAACGUGAAUACUUUAGGGAUUAUUGCUUGACACAAAAAGGGAAACUAUUAUGGGAUCAAAUUUCUAUGUUGCGAUGGUAUGCUCGUCAACUAUGCUUGAUACAUGAUUAUACUUGUUGCUCUAGGAUGAAGUCUCCACACCUUCCCUUUUCAUGCAAAUUUAAUGAUAAUGAAACCUUAGCUUCUUAUGCUAAUGGUAUAUAUGAUUACUAUGAUGUUGAAAAAAUAGAAGAAUUUGUUGCUUUUAAGGCUGCUUAUGAAAUUGAAUCUUUGUUUGAAAAGUAUGAAGCUUUUGAUGAUGAUGGUGUUUAUAGGACUAAAAAUCUUGCUAUACUUAGAUAUUGCUAUGAAAAUUAUGAAUACAAUCACUUUAUUAAUGCAUUUAUUGAGAAAGUCUCCGCUGUCCAAGAAGAGACUAAUAUUUUGCAGGAAACUAUGGAAGAAGAAAUUGAUUAA